UACGGAGGGGGCUAGCGUUGUCCGGAAUUACUGGGCGUAAAGCGCACGUAGGCGGCUUUGUAAGUUAGAGGUGAAAGCCCGGGGCUCAACUCCGGAAUUGCCUUUAAGACUGCAUCGCUUGAACGUCGGAGAGGUGAGUGGAAUUCCGAGUGUAGAGGUGAAAUUCGUAGAUAUUCGGAAGAACACCAGUGGCGAAGGCGGCUCACUGGACGACUGUUGACGCUGAGGUGCGAAAGCGUGGGGAGCAAACAGG
This 253-nucleotide ribosomal RNA is filed under the name uncultured bacterium. RNAcentral describes it as "partial 16S ribosomal RNA". It matches the Rfam family "Bacterial small subunit ribosomal RNA", at positions 524 to 776 of the family's 1533-position model. The record is from RNAcentral.